UUAAGCAUAUCAAUAAGCGCAGGAAAAGAAACCAACAGGGAUUGCCUCAGUAACGGCGAGUGAAGCGGCAACAGCUCAAAUUUGAAAUCUGGCCUCUUGGGGUCCGAGUUGUAAUUUGUAGAGGAUGUUUUGGGUACCGCCCCGGUCUAAAUUUCUUGGAACAGAAUGUCAAAGAGGGUGAGAAUCCCGUCUUGGAUCGGCGGUAGGGCCUGUGUAAAACUCCUUCGACGAGUCGAGUUGUUUGGGAAUGCAGCUCAAAAUGGGUGGUAAAUUUCAUCUAAAGCUAAAUAUUGGCCAGAGACCGAUAGCGCACAAGUAGAGUGAUCGAAAGAUGAAAAGCACUUUGAAAAGAGAGUUAAACAGUAUGUGAAAUUGUUGAAAGGGAAGCGCUGGCAACCAGACUUGAGCGCGACGGUUCCCCCUGCCUUUUGGUUGGGCUACUCCGUCGUGUCCAGGCCAACAUCGGUUCUGAGGGUCGGUCAAAGGCUCUGGGAAUGUACCUACCCCCGGGUAGACUUAUAGACCAGGGUGUCAUGCGACCUCUCGGGACCGAGGAACGCGCUUCGGCUCGGAUGUUGGCGUAAUGGUUGUCAGCGACCCGUCUUGAAACACGGACCAAGGAGUCUAACAUCUAUGCGAGUGUUUGGGUGUCAAACCCGGAACGCGGAAUGAAAGUGAACGGAGGUAGGAAGCUUCGGCUGCACUAUCGACCGAUCCUGAAGUUUACGGAUGGAUUUGAGUAAGAGCAUAGCUGUUGGGACCCGAAAGAUGGUGAACUAUGCCUGAAUAGGGUGAAGCCAGAGGAAACUCUGGUGGAGGCUCGCAGCGGUUCUGACGUGCAAAUCGAUCGUCAAAUUUGGGUAUAGGGGCGAAAGACUAAUCGAACCAUCUGGUAGCUGGUUCCUGCCGAAGUUUCCCUCAGGAUAGCAGUAACGUUUUCAGUUUUAUGAGGUAAAGCGAAUGAUUAGAGGCCUUGGGGUUGAAACAACCUUAACCUAUUCUCAAACUUUAAAUAUGUAAGAAGUCCUUGUUACUUAAUUGAACGUGGACAUUUGAAUGUACCGUUACUAGUGGGCCAUUUUUGGUAAGCAGAACUGGCGAUGCGGGAUGAACCGAACGUGAGGUUAAGGUGCCGGAAUGCACGCUCAUCAGACACCACAAAAGGUGUCAAUGCAUCUAGACAGCCGGACGGUGGCCAUGGAAGUCGGAAUCCGCUUAGGAGUGUGUAACAACUCACCGGCCGAAUGCAUUGGCCCUGAAAAUGGAUGGCGCUUAAGCGUGCUACCUAUACCUCGCCGUUAGGGUUGACAUGAUGCCCUAACGAGUAGGCAGGCGUGGAGGUCCGUGACGAAGCCUUGGGGGUGACCCCGGGUCGAACGGCCUCUAG
Molecule: ribosomal RNA, 1387 nt
Filed under: Herpotrichiellaceae sp. A1033
Lineage: Eukaryota; Fungi; Ascomycota; Eurotiomycetes; Chaetothyriales; Herpotrichiellaceae
Also listed under: 1 other name
Description: LSU rRNA
Rfam family: Eukaryotic large subunit ribosomal RNA
Source: RNAcentral